Non-coding RNA from Paramuricea clavata, 1862 nucleotides. NCBI's taxonomy places the organism in Eukaryota, Metazoa, Cnidaria, Anthozoa, Malacalcyonacea, Plexauridae. The record is from the annotation of a GenBank genome assembly.
CUGCUUAGGUCUUAAUAAAUUCACGCUCGAAAUUUCCAACUAUUGCUUUUAGGCUCGACCAGUGGAAUAUUCCCCCAAGUUAUUAUCUCAUCAGAUUCCCGUCUCGUUCCACAAACAUUACGAGAUUGAUCCAUAUAAAGUCUACAAGGAUUAUCUUGGCUAACACAAACCGGUGAGAAGUUCCGACCAUAACCGAACGACUGCAAGGGAGACUAUUAGCUGGUUUACACUAUCAAAGUUUCUGUGAUCACAGUAAGAAUUUUGCCUAGAUAAAUUCUAAGUUUUGAAGGAUUUGUAAGAAAUGUUUUGAGGGAACUGACCAUAGAAAUAAUAGAUAGAUUCUAUGGAACUGACUUAGUAUUAACACUUUUAUUAACCAUCAAUCAAAUAUAGAGGUGUAUCUUUUUCUGCUGGACACGGCUGCAGGCGUUUUCUUAGCCAAAGCCCCUAACCAAAACGCCUGCUCUGCAGGCUAUAUUAACACACGAGUCAGCUUCAUCAAACAUUUCUUACAAAUCCUUCAAAACUUAGAAUUUACCUAUGCAAAAUCCCGACUACGAUUACAGAAACUUUGAUAGUGUAACCAGACGUAACGUAAACCCUAAAGUACGAUGUAUAUGCCAUGUCCAAACGAAGUUUGGCAUGACUUUAUAUUCGCUGCGAGCGUUUGUUAGUUUGUUAGUCUAUUUUUUUGGAAUCAUAAGCCUUGGUAUUUAUUCAAAAGUAGUAUGUCUGCACUAGAGGUGUGCAAAUUGAAUCCGAUCCACUCCGAAAAUAUUCAUUUCUGAUUGGAUCGGAUUGAUAAAGUUGUUUCGUAGUUGGUUCGGAUCGGACUUCGAUAUUCGAAAUAUUUGGUUAAAUAUUUCUACUUGAAUGAGAAAUUUAUUUUAUUAAAGGAUUCUUCGGAUCGGAUCGGAAUUCUUCAUCAAAACUCGGAUCGGAUUCGGAUUAGACAAUUUCGGAUCGGAUUGGAUUUUAAACAUUAGCCAAUUGUCGGAUUAUAAAUGUCCAAUCCGAUCCGAUGCACACCUCUAGUCUGCACACUUGUGCAGCACCUGUUCUGGUUUUGUUUUGUUAUUUAUGUACUUAAAAAAUCAAAGAAGCUUUCUCGGCUCAAAUAAUGUAUGAGUAAAACGCAAAUGUAAUCGGCAUUGUAUUGUUGUUGCCUUGAUGACUUGUACAACAGUGACAAGUCGAAAUCAUUAGUGUUGACCUCUUCUGUAAAAUAUUGGAACUGCAGUAUAAAUUGUCUUUUGAAGGCCCUGGAGAAAUAAUUUAUUCCAGGAGGGAAAAGGAGGGCUAAUAGAGAGAGUGGUUUAUUGGGGAGGGGAGCUUUAUAGAGCGGGUGAUUGAUUGGGGAGAGGGGUUAACAGAGAGGGUGAUUCAUUGGGGGUGAGGGGGUUAACAGAGAGGGUGAUUCAUUGGGGAGAGGGGUUAACAGAGAAGGUGAUUCAUUGGGAAGAGGGGUUAACAGAGAAGGUGAUUCAUUGGAGAGAGGGGGUUAACAGAGAAGGUGAUUUAUUGGGGAGAGGGGGCUUAGUAAAGAGAGUGGCCUAUUGGGGAGAGGGAGUACGUUUAAUAGAGAGGGUGAUUUAUUGGAGAGAGAGGGGGAUUAAUAAAGAGGGUGGCCCAUUGGAGAGAGGGGGUACGUUUAAUAGAGAGGGUGAUUCAUUGGGGAGAGGGGGUUAAUAAAGAGGGUGACUCAUUGGAGAGAGGGGCUUAAUAGAGAGAGGGGCUUAAUAGAGAGGGGGGCUUAUUGGAGAAAGGGGUUUUUAAUAAAGAGGGUGGCUCAUUGGAGAGAGGGAGGUUCAUAGAGACGGUGAUUCAUUGGGGAGAGGGAGAGGUUCAUCAAAAUCAAUUGG